UAAAUAGUCUCUGACUAUAGGAAAUUGUUAGUGGCAGACGGGUGAGUAAUGCGUAGGAAUCUACCUAGUAGUACGGAAUAGCCAUUAGAAAUGGUGGGUAAUACUGUAUAAUCCCCGAGGGGGAAAGAUUUAUCGCUAUUAGAUGAGCCUACGUUAGAUUAGCUAGUUGGUGAGGUAAUGGCUUACCAAGGCUAUGAUCUAUAGCUGGUCUGAGAGGACGAUCAGCCACACUGGAACUGAGAUACGGUCCAGACUCCUACGGGAGGCAGCAGUGGGGAAUAUUGGACAAUGGGCGAAAGCCUGAUCCAGCUAUGCCGCGUGAG
RNAcentral lists this ribosomal RNA (323 nucleotides) under uncultured Ehrlichia sp. RNAcentral's name for it is "bacterial SSU rRNA". It matches the Rfam family "Bacterial small subunit ribosomal RNA", at positions 70 to 405 of the family's 1533-position model. The record is from RNAcentral. Lineage: Bacteria; Pseudomonadati; Pseudomonadota; Alphaproteobacteria; Rickettsiales; Anaplasmataceae.